CCUACGGGUGGCUGCAGUGGGGAAUAUUGGACAAUGGGCGAAAGCCUGAUCCAGCCAUGCCGCGUGUGUGAAGAAGGCCUUCGGGUUGUAAAGCACUUUCAGUGGGGAAGAAAGCCUUGGGGCUAAUACCCUCGAGGAAGGACAUCACCCACAGAAGAAGCACCGGCUAACUCCGUGCCAGCAGCCGCGGUAAUACGGAGGGUGCGAGCGUUAAUCGGAAUUACUGGGCGUAAAGCGCGCGUAGGCGGUCUGAUAAGCCGGUUGUGAAAGCCCCGGGCUCAACCUGGGAACGGCAUCCGGAACUGUCAGGCUAGAGUGCAGGAGAGGAAGGUAGAAUUCCCGGUGUAGCGGUGAAAUGCGUAGAGAUCGGGAGGAAUAUCAGUGGCGAAGGCGGCCUUCUGGACUGACACUGACGCUGAGGUGCGAAAGCGUGGGUAGCAAACAGGAUUAGAUACCCCAGUAGUC
Molecule: ribosomal RNA, 465 nt
Filed under: Vreelandella stevensii
Lineage: Bacteria; Pseudomonadati; Pseudomonadota; Gammaproteobacteria; Oceanospirillales; Halomonadaceae
Description: partial 16S ribosomal RNA
Rfam family: Bacterial small subunit ribosomal RNA
Source: RNAcentral